GUCCCAGCUGUAAACGAUGCAGACUCGGUGAUGCACUGGCUUGUGGCCAGUGCAGUGCCGCAGGGAAGCCGUUAAGUUUGCCGCCUGGGAAGUACGUACGCAAGUAUGAAACUUAAAGGAAUUGGCGGGGGAGCACCACAAGGGGUGAAGCCUGCGGUUCAAUUGGAGUCAACGCCAGAAAUCUUACCCGAAGAGACAGCAGAAUGAAGGUCAAGCCGGAGACUUUACCAGACAAGCUGAGAGGUGGUGCAUGGCCGUCGU
RNAcentral lists this ribosomal RNA (261 nucleotides) under uncultured bacterium. Its description in RNAcentral is "partial 16S ribosomal RNA". It matches the Rfam family "Archaeal small subunit ribosomal RNA", at positions 744 to 1004 of the family's 1478-position model. The record is from RNAcentral.